Zootermopsis nevadensis is the source of this 759-nucleotide non-coding RNA. The record is from RefSeq and is a predicted model, not a curated record. Lineage: Eukaryota; Metazoa; Arthropoda; Insecta; Blattodea; Termopsidae.
GGUUACAUUUGUUGGUGUUGUGUUGAAAGAGGGUAAUGGAAUUUGGUUGUGUUCUGAUAAUUUAAUAGGAAGAUUAGUUCUGAUUUCUUGUUGCCAUAAGUUUAUGGUUUAAUUUUAAACACGAAGUGUUACUCUUUUUACAUGAUUGUGUUGUGAUUCGUGCAUCUCCUGUGGCUGCAAAUCGGAUGACUAUCAAAGAUUGAAAUUCUUCAGGUUUCGGAAAUCGGCAAAUAUGUCUGUUUUGUAUUGUACAGGGUCCGGCAGAGGAAUCUGAUGUUUUUGGAUUGGUUAAAACUGCAGGCAUUUCAUGGAGCAGUGAAAUGCAGCUCACCGUGCGUUUGUUAUAGAGAAUUUUUUUAAAAGUGGUGAUUCAGUUGUUAAAAUGCAACGAGCGUUUAGAUUGCAUUUUAAUGUCGGGCGACACGGGAGAGUUCCUACUCGAAACACCAUAUUAUUGUGGGUAGAAAACUUUAGAGCCACCAGUUCUUCAUUGAAAAGGAAACCGCCCCAGAGGAGUAAGGACAGUCCGCACACCGGAAAACAUCGAGGCCAUUAGACAGGCGAUAGGGAGAAGCCCUCGUCGUUCGGCGUUGAGACAUGCUGCUGCUCUGCGCAUUUCGGAUCGAAGUGUAAGUUCAGGCAAAGGCUCUCCUUCUAAAAGCUACUGUUCAUCCAGCUCAACCUCAACAGAAAAUGUAGUCUCCACUCUUGAAAGUAAGAUUAAAGGCAAAGUGACAUCACACUUACUGAAAAUGGCUA